UGGGGAAUAUUGCGCAAUGGGGGAAACCCUGACGCAGCGACGCCGCGUGUGGGAUGAAGGUCUUCGGAUUGUAAACCACUGUCGCGAGGGACGAAGCUCUGACGGUACCUCGAAAGGAAGCACCGGCUAACUCUGUGCCAGCAGCCGCGGUAAUACAGAGGGUGCGAGCGUUGUCCGGAAUCACUGGGCGUAAAGGGCGCGUAGGCGGCCCGGUAAGUAGGGGGUGAAAUCUCAUGGCUCAACUGUGAGGCUGCCUUCUAGACUGCCAGGCUUGAGCACAGUAGAGGCGAGUGGAAUUCCCGGUGUAGCGGUGGAAUGCGUAGAGAUCAGGAAGAACACCUGUGGCGAAGGCGGCUAGCUGGGCCAGUUCUGACGCUGAUCCGCGAAAGCGUGGGGAGCAAACAGGAUUAGAUACCCAGGUAGUCCCUGAGCGGGCUGGCAAGGCG
This 446-nucleotide ribosomal RNA is filed under the name uncultured bacterium. RNAcentral's name for it is "bacterial SSU rRNA". It matches the Rfam family "Bacterial small subunit ribosomal RNA", at positions 355 to 822 of the family's 1533-position model. The record is from RNAcentral.